AAGCUAGUAGGCUGGGCAAAUUGAUUAGACUUUUGCUGUAUGUAAUCUAAAUAGCAUUUCUGGUUAACUCUUUCCUUCCUCUUAUUUUCAGGCCCCACUGUUUAUCCUGCAGUUACUCAUCUCUAUCAAACCAUGAACGGGCUCAGAUUUCCUCAAGGUAAUCUGGCUUCCCAGAAACCUCCUGCUAAAUGCAAGGGUUUGCUGUCCUGUUUACUGACUGUUACACCUGAGGCUGGUUUUAAUACAGAUUCUGGACAUCAUAAGAUAACACGUGCCAGGAAGCCGGGAUUUAGCCCCCGACCUUGGCGUUGCACAUGGAGGCUGCUCCUAACACUGCCCCAGCCGCCUGUGUGCUGUCCACGCCUCAGCUCCCAUGCCAUUAAAGCGGAGAUUAUAUACUCUUAUUUGCCAGAGUGCUGCAAGACCGACGGUAGCCGUUAAAUGCUUUUAGUUCCUCGGGAGAAAACAGCUAUAAAAAAGGCAAAAUAUGUAUGUUUAUAGUGUAAAAUACAUGCUUGUGGUUGUAUGUUAACUCCAUACUCAUACUAGGUUGCUUUUAAACCAGGGAAGUAUACUUUCUAAUGUUUUGUGUUGCCGUACAAAUUAGAUGCUUUUAUCCAGAUUACUCGUUGGAAAUCGAAGGAGACGCACACAAGGGUUGCUAGGAUGCCCUUAUUUUUCACAUUCAAGAUUUGGAAGUAGAACUAAAGGUUCAGAACAUCUGAUUCUUUGAAAAAUUAAGUCCUUUCACGGAAGCAGUUAAAUAUUUUUUGUCAGCUCUGAUAAUAAUGAGUUUUUGGUGCUGGGAUGAGCGAUAAUUGCAAAUGGCAAAAAGUCAUCAGAACGUUGUUACUCAGAUUGCAGAUUUUAUUAAUCGUAAAAGAAAUUAUUCACCUAGAAAGGCUAUUUUAUAAGUGCUCAUUUACAUGGAGACUCACUGCCUAAUUUAUUUUGUUUAAAAACAAAAACAAAAAAUAACGGCUUUGUCCGCUCCUUCAAAGCCCUUCAUUAUUCUGACCUUCCCGUCUGGUUUGUUACAAUGUCAUGUAUGCUGCUACUUAUCAAUGGGACCCCUCUCAUUUUUGCUCCUUCUCUCUCCCAAAUGUAUCUUCUUGUUCUUGGGUUUAUUCCAUCAGCUGAUAUUACUGUGUAUCUCUGCACCGCAUGCAUUGCUUCCACAAUUAAGCAGAUGGUUUGUCUCCUAUGAAGGACUCCUUAGGUAGAGGUGUUGUUUGGCCUUUUACUUUACAUGUUUCUGACCAAAUGAGGUAUUGGAAAUUGCAGGCAUAAAUUAAAUUUUCCUCUUUUUCUCCCAUUUCUUUUGUAUUGUUUUGAACCUGAGUCCUGAUUAAGUAAAGAAACUGAGCACGUUCCUCACUGUAAGAAGGCAAUUAGUCAACGAGACUGCCCUGUGUGCUCAAAACAGGGUACAUACUUAAGU
Molecule: long non-coding RNA, 1441 nt
Organism: Dromaius novaehollandiae (emu)
Lineage: Eukaryota; Metazoa; Chordata; Aves; Casuariiformes; Dromaiidae
Source: Ensembl